GCAGCAGACAAGUUUAGCUCGGGUCAAGCGCGGAGCAUACGGGUCAGAUUUCGCGUUCGAGUUCGGUCAACUCGGUCCAACUCGGUCAGCCGAGUCAACUCAGUUGACUCGGUCAACUCAGUCGGCUCACUCGACAUAUUGACGGAAGACUCGGAAUAUUGUAGAAUGCACGCUAGCAAGUCAAGUCUUGGAAACGACAUCACGAAGUCGUAUAUAGCUAGCUUUGCACAGGAAUAUUCAGGAAUAUUGUAGAAUGCACGCUAGCAAGUCAAGUCUUGGA
This 280-nucleotide long non-coding RNA is filed under the name Helianthus annuus (common sunflower). RNAcentral's name for it is "hypothetical non coding rna". Lineage: Eukaryota; Viridiplantae; Streptophyta; Magnoliopsida; Asterales; Asteraceae. The record is from RNAcentral.